Molecule: long non-coding RNA, 626 nt
Filed under: Triticum aestivum (bread wheat)
Lineage: Eukaryota; Viridiplantae; Streptophyta; Magnoliopsida; Poales; Poaceae
Description: long non-coding RNA (TAES_LNC021945)
Source: RNAcentral
GGUGUGCUGCUCAUCACCGGGGUGUGCUACGGGGACAGCACCGCCGUCUCCUCCCUCGUGCAGGUGCUAUACUGCAUGAAUCCCCCUUCACUGUCUCCCUUCAGUUUUCUUAUGUGUGUUGGUCCCCGAGUCUGCAGGGCAGUAGGAUUGCAUGCAGUCCUCAGGACACCUCUCCUCCUAGCUACAUCUACCUCGGUUUUGAGAUGCCUCACCUUGCACCUCCACCUACUGUUUGUUGAGUUUUGUUUCCACCUGAUGGCCACAAGUGCAGGUUCUCUCGGUUGCAGCUCGGUUGGGUCGUCGAUGAAGUAUGGAGGCACGUGAGAGGGCGAUGGGUUUACCCUCAACGGUCUGCAUCGAUGACAUUAUUAGCAGUAAAACAAAUGCAAAAAGAUGAGAAGUUUAGAACCAUUAGCACCAUAGAAUCUUCAUUUUUGCAGUGAAGUGUGUAUUGUACAGUAUAAAAAAUGGGUGUGUUGUUUUGGUGCAAUUCAUUUUGAUUUACAUUUUGGAAAAAUGGUUAUGCAUCAUGCUGAGCAGUUAACUAGUGGGGUACUCAAAUGUCACUUUUCUAGUUGAUGAGUGCAUUAUGCAGUGCAGUUAACAUCUCAAAGAAGCUCACUUUC